This 253-nucleotide unclassified non-coding RNA is filed under the name uncultured Alphaproteobacteria bacterium. RNAcentral's name for it is "contains 16S-23S intergenic spacer region". It matches the Rfam family "Bacterial small subunit ribosomal RNA", at positions 524 to 776 of the family's 1533-position model. Lineage: Bacteria; Pseudomonadati; Pseudomonadota; Alphaproteobacteria. The record is from RNAcentral.
UACGUAGGUGGCAAGUGUUGUCCGGAAUCAUUGGGCGUAAAGCGCACGUAGGCGGACUUUUAAGUCAGGGGUGAAAUCCCGGGGCUCAACCCCGGAACUGCCUUUGAUACUGGAAGUCUUGAGUCCGAGAGAGGUGAGUGGAACUCCGAGUGUAGAGGUGAAAUUCGUAGAUAUUCGGAAGAACACCAGUGGCGAAGGCGGCUCUCUUGCUCGGUACUGACGCUGAGGUGCGAAAGCGUGGGGAGCAAACAGG